UACGUAGGCAGCAAGCGUUGUUCGGAGUUACUGGGCGUAAAGAGUGCGUAGGCGGUCUUUUAAGUUUGGUGUGAAAUCUCCCGGCUCAACUGGGAGGGUGCGCCGAAAACUGGAAGGCUUGAGGAUGGGAGAGGCAUGCGGAAUUCCUGGUGUAGCGGUGAAAUGCGUAGAUAUCAGGAGGAACACCUGCGGUGUAGACAGCAUGCUGGACCAUUUCUGACGCUGAGGCACGAAAGCGUGGGUAGCAAACAGG
This 253-nucleotide ribosomal RNA is filed under the name uncultured bacterium. Its description in RNAcentral is "partial 16S ribosomal RNA". It matches the Rfam family "Bacterial small subunit ribosomal RNA", at positions 524 to 776 of the family's 1533-position model. RNAcentral also lists the same sequence under 1 other name. The record is from RNAcentral.